AUACUUACCUGGCAGGGGAGAUAUGGUGAUCAUGAAGGUGGUUUUCCCAGGGAGAGGCUCAUCUGUUGCACUCCAGAUGUGCCAAGCCCUGAAAUUUAUCCAAAUGUGGGAAACAACUCUAUGGCAUAAUUUGUGGUAGUGGGGGACUGCCUUCACACUCUCCAC
Molecule: small nuclear RNA, 165 nt
Organism: Fukomys damarensis (Damara mole-rat)
Lineage: Eukaryota; Metazoa; Chordata; Mammalia; Rodentia; Bathyergidae
Gene: U1
Rfam family: U1 spliceosomal RNA
About the family: U1 is a small nuclear RNA (snRNA) component of the spliceosome (involved in pre-mRNA splicing). Its 5' end forms complementary base pairs with the 5' splice junction, thus defining the 5' donor site of an intron. There are significant differences in sequence and secondary structure between metazoan and yeast U1 snRNAs, the latter being much longer (568 nucleotides as compared to 164 nucleotides in human).
Source: Ensembl